Molecule: non-coding RNA, 236 nt
Filed under: Fulvivirga imtechensis
Lineage: Bacteria; Pseudomonadati; Bacteroidota; Cytophagia; Cytophagales; Fulvivirgaceae
Also listed under: 1 other name
Source: RNAcentral
ACUUUGACCCUGAUUAUUGGUUCAUGGUGAUAGUUCAGAUUAUCAUGAUGAAAAGGGAAUCCGGUGGUUUCACUAUAGAUUGGAAGAUUCCGGAGCUGUCCCCGCAACUGUAAUCCCGGAAGCUGUUUUGGAACAGCUUCAGUAUGCUUUGAUCAUCUUUUACCACUGUCCUGUAUGGAUGGGAAGGUCCUCAAAGUCGGGAAAGCCAGGAGACCUGCCAAUGAUAGUUUUAAUCU